AGUGAACGCUGGCGGCGUGCUUAACACAUGCAAGUCGAACGGAUUUAAUAAGCUUGCUUAUUAAGUUAGUGGCGCACGGGUGAGUAAUGUAUAGCUAACCUGCCCUUUAGUGGGGGACAACAGUUGGAAACGACUGCUAAUACCCCAUAUUCCUUCGUAUCAUAAGGUACGUUGGGAAAGAUUUAUUGCUAAAGGAUGGGGCUUUAUUGUAUCAGCUAGUUGGUGGGGUAAUGGCCUACCAAGGCGAUGACGCAUACCUGGUCUGAGAGGAUGAUCAGGCACACUGGAACUGAGACACGGUCCAGACUCCUACGGGAGGCAGCAGUGGGGAAUAUUGCACAAUGGGGGAAACCCUGAUGCAGCAACGCCGCGUGGAGGAUGACGCAUUUCGGUGUGUAAACUCCUUUUAUAAGGGAAGAUAAUGACGGUACCUUAUGAAUAAGCACCGGCUAACUCCGUG
Molecule: ribosomal RNA, 460 nt
Filed under: uncultured bacterium
Lineage: Bacteria
Description: bacterial SSU rRNA
Rfam family: Bacterial small subunit ribosomal RNA
Source: RNAcentral